UACGGAGGGUGCGAGCGUUGUCCGGAAUCACUGGGCGUAAAGGGCGCGCAGGCGGCCUGAUAAGUAGGGGGUGAAAUCCUGCGGCUUAACCGCAGGGCUGCCUUCUAAACUGUCAGGCUUGAGCACAGUAGAGGCAGGUGGAAUUCCCGGUGUAGCGGUGGAAUGCGUAGAGAUCGGGAAGAACAUCAGUGGCGAAGGCGGCCAUCUGGACCAGCACUGACGCUGAGGCACGAAAGCGUGGGGAGCAAACAGG
Molecule: ribosomal RNA, 253 nt
Filed under: uncultured bacterium
Lineage: Bacteria
Description: partial 16S ribosomal RNA
Rfam family: Bacterial small subunit ribosomal RNA
Source: RNAcentral